AUGUCUCAGUGUACCACCAUCUCCUAUGUUAUGGCCGCUACUUCUUCCAUCCGGUAACUUUUUCUAUGGACUCAUAUCAAAUUAACUGGAAGAUAAUUUUUGGUUCCAUUUGAAGUUUCUUCAUAGAAGUCAAUGUAUUAAUAGAAUAUAUAUACCCUCAUUCUAGCGACUGUAUUGGUGAUUUCUGAGUAGUCCAGAGUACCAAUAUCACGAGCAAUACAUGAUAGGGUUUGUUCAGACCAUAGAUGUAACGGCACACCUUGUACCUGAAUCCAGAAUGGGAUCUGGCUUGGGAAGGUUGGAGAGAACGAGGGCUCCCAUCUUUGAAUGAUAAUCAUCCAAUGUGAUAUGGUUGGUUUUCCAGAACUUUCAAGAGAUCUCUUUCUGACGCAAACUGGAAUUGGAAGCAGCCUUGGCCCAAGUCUGCACCUAUAGGUCGAGAUUCGCACUUCCAGUGGUCAGAGAGGAAGGUAUGAGGGACCAGACUUGCUGACUUUAGGGUUUGUUAGUCUACCCACCAGCGUAAGAGCAUGCUUUCUGAUAAGUUCUGAUGUGUCGAAAGAGGGGAUUCUGACUCUAGCUGUUCGUGGGGGAAGAGGUGGCUCCACUGGACCUUUCCCUUUCUCUGCAUAGGAGAGUCUUCGAUGCAUAACUUCUCACACGGAUCAGAAGAGUAAUGGUUAUAGACAGGUGUGGAGUAAGAGAAGAUGAUUCUUCCUGUCAAGACAAAAGAGGGUUGGGAGCUGUUUGAAAAUGCUUUUUCUAGGAUCUGAUUCUUCAAGUAGAGAGAUAGAUCUUGGACUGCAUGGUAGUUGAAACAGUUUCAUGAGCUAUGCAUAAGGGUCGUCGCCGGUAAGGAUGAAGGGAGCAUCGGUCCCUCCGACCACGGGUCGGGGAAAGAACCCGGCGUGUAAGAGGCAGAGACUCGCUUGUAACUGAAGGAUAAUCCCAAAGAGGGAAAAUUUGAAAUAAUCAGCUUAAAACUCAGCGGUUAAAGCAGCUGUGCAGGGAAGGUUCCUUGGUUAACGGUUACUCUUGAGAAACGUGCCUUGGAGAGGAAAGCAUGUAUGAUGUAUAGAGUGUAGUGUUUAUUAUAUGAAGUUUUUUACAUUCCAGACAUUCGCUAGCCAGUCAGGAGCAGCAACUUGAUUUGUGGGAGCUUCAGCGGUGUGAGCUUCCGAUUGAAUCAGGAGUAGGCCCGAGACCUUUAGCGAUUGAAGAGCCUCUGGGGCCGGGCCCAUUGGUCUGACCUGUUCACAGUGUGAGAGCCAUGGGUCAUCCCAGACAUUAAUCUCCUCUCCUGUUCCGACCAUCCAGCCUAGUUGCUUCACCAGGAGGUCUCUACCAAUCAAGACACUUCUCCAGCCAUGCAAGGAUGAUGAUGUGGGUUGGCAUUUAAGGAAAGAUUCAGCUUGGCAGUACUUUCCAAGGAGACAGCGAGCUAGUAGACAUGUGGGAUUCUUUAUAAUCCUCCAUCCAAUCUUGGCCAGUAAGGCAUCAUUGAAGGUUCUGAAUCCCACCAGAAUCUUGUCAGUGUUGAUUGGAUGCACUCUUUAUAAUGGUUAGUCUACUAAUUUAGGGAUCAAUAUGAAGUUUUACUAGAUUAAUUGAUAAAAAAUUAGA
Long non-coding RNA from Brassica oleracea var. oleracea, 1623 nucleotides. RefSeq lists it as uncharacterized. The transcript has 3 exons. Lineage: Eukaryota; Viridiplantae; Streptophyta; Magnoliopsida; Brassicales; Brassicaceae. The record is from RefSeq and is a predicted model, not a curated record.